RNAcentral lists this ribosomal RNA (17 nucleotides) under uncultured Mycena. RNAcentral's name for it is "partial 18S ribosomal RNA". Lineage: Eukaryota; Fungi; Basidiomycota; Agaricomycetes; Agaricales; Tricholomataceae. The record is from RNAcentral.
CUGCGGAAGAAUCAUUA